UAUCGCUGGAAGAUGGCCUCGCGUCUGAUUAGCUAGAUGGUGGGGUAACGGCCCACCAUGGCGACGAUCAGUAGCCGGACUGAGAGGUUGACCGGCCACAUUGGGACUGAGAUACGGCCCAGACUCCUACGGGAGGCAGCAGUGGGGAAUAUUGGGCAAUGGACGCAAGUCUGACCCAGCAACGCCGCGUGAAGGAAGAAGGCUUUCGGGUUGUAAACUUCUUUUGUCGGGGACGAAACAAAUGACGGUACCUGACGAAUAAGCCACGGCUAACUAC
This 277-nucleotide ribosomal RNA is filed under the name uncultured bacterium. RNAcentral describes it as "partial 16S ribosomal RNA". It matches the Rfam family "Bacterial small subunit ribosomal RNA", at positions 213 to 504 of the family's 1533-position model. The record is from RNAcentral.